This 719-nucleotide ribosomal RNA is filed under the name Paenisporosarcina quisquiliarum. RNAcentral's name for it is "bacterial SSU rRNA". It matches the Rfam family "Bacterial small subunit ribosomal RNA", at positions 76 to 778 of the family's 1533-position model. The record is from RNAcentral. Lineage: Bacteria; Bacillati; Bacillota; Bacilli; Caryophanales; Caryophanaceae.
AAGCUUGCUUCUUCUGAUUUUAGCGGCGGACGGGUGAGUAACACGUGGGCAACCUACCUUGUAGAUUGGGAUAACUCCGGGAAACCGGGGCUAAUACCGAAUAAUCCAUUUUGCUUCAUGGCGAAAUGUUAAAAGGCGGCUUCGGCUGUCACUGCAAGAUGGGCCCGCGGCGCAUUAGCUAGUUGGUAAGGUAACGGCUUACCAAGGCGACGAUGCGUAGCCGACCUGAGAGGGUGAUCGGCCACACUGGGACUGAGACACGGCCCAGACUCCUACGGGAGGCAGCAGUAGGGAAUCUUCCACAAUGGACGAAAGUCUGAUGGAGCAACGCCGCGUGAGUGAAGAAGGUUUUCGGAUCGUAAAACUCUGUUGUAAGGGAAGAACACGUACGAGAGUAACUGCUCGUACCUUGACGGUACCUUAUUAGAAAGCCACGGCUAACUACGUGCCAGCAGCCGCGGUAAUACGUAGGUGGCAAGCGUUGUCCGGAAUUAUUGGGCGUAAAGCGCGCGCAGGCGGUCCUUUAAGUCUGAUGUGAAAGCCCACGGCUCAACCGUGGAGGGUCAUUGGAAACUGGGGGACUUGAGUACAGAAGAGGAAAGCGGAAUUCCAAGUGUAGCGGUGAAAUGCGUAGAGAUUUGGAGGAACACCAGUGGCGAAGGCGGCUUUCUGGUCUGUAACUGACGCUGAGGCGCGAAAGCGUGGGGAGCAAACAGGAU